RNAcentral lists this ribosomal RNA (608 nucleotides) under uncultured bacterium. RNAcentral's name for it is "bacterial SSU rRNA". It matches the Rfam family "Bacterial small subunit ribosomal RNA", at positions 52 to 674 of the family's 1533-position model. The record is from RNAcentral.
UACCUGCAGUCGACGGUGACACGGAGCUUGCUCUGUGGGAUCAGUGGCGAACGGGUGAGUAACACGUGAGCAACCUGCCCCUGACUCUGGGAUAAGCGCUGGAAACGGCGUCUAAUACUGGAUAUGUGACGUGACCGCAUGGUCUGCGUCUGGAAAGAAUUUCGGUUGGGGAUGGGCUCGCGGCCUAUCAGCUUGUUGGUGAGGUAAUGGCUCACCAAGGCGUCGACGGGUAGCCGGCCUGAGAGGGUGACCGGCCACACUGGGACUGAGACACGGCCCAGACUCCUACGGGAGGCAGCAGUGGGGAAUAUUGCACAAUGGGCGCAAGCCUGAUGCAGCAACGCCGCGUGAGGGACGACGGCCUUCGGGUUGUAAACCUCUUUUAGCAGGGAAGAAGCGAAAGUGACGGUACCUGCAGAAAAAGCGCCGGCUAACUACGUGCCAGCAGCCGCGGUAAUACGUAGGGCGCAAGCGUUAUCCGGAAUUAUUGGGCGUAAAGAGCUCGUAGGCGGUUUGUCGCGUCUGCUGUGAAAUCCGGAGGCUCAACCUCCGGCCUGCAGUGGGUACGGGCAGACUAGAGUGCGGUAGGGGAGAUUGGAAUUCCUGGU